Molecule: ribosomal RNA, 225 nt
Filed under: Vibrio parahaemolyticus
Lineage: Bacteria; Pseudomonadati; Pseudomonadota; Gammaproteobacteria; Vibrionales; Vibrionaceae
Description: partial 23S ribosomal RNA
Rfam family: Bacterial large subunit ribosomal RNA
Source: RNAcentral
CAGGUGAUCUAGCCAUGGGCAGGUUGAAGGUUGAGUAACAUCAACUGGAGGACCGAACCGACUAAUGUUGAAAAAUUAGCGGAUGACUUGUGGCUAGGGGUGAAAGGCCAAUCAAACCUGGAGAUAGCUGGUUCUCCCCGAAAGCUAUUUAGGUAGCGCCUCGGACGAAUACUACUGGGGGUAGAGCACUGUUAAGGCUAGGGGGUCAUCCCGACUUACCAACCC